UCAUGAUGCCCUCUUUCAUUUGUUAGGAGCUUAGUACACUCCUAAGUACAAGAAAGGAAAUAAGCCCUUCAGACUCUCUGGAGUGGGUCAGUGACUUAUAAUAAAAACAUUUGCUAACUCCGUGGACGUGGUACAUGUAACAUCAGAAAAUCUUUUCAUGAUGAGGAUAUCUACAAUCACAGUGGUGGUUUUGAUCGCAGUUUUAUCUACAGAGCAGGCACUAGCUCAGGGCUGGUGGGAUAGAAUUCUCUCACAUGCGCGGAGUGGAUGGAACACUGCUAGAGACCAUGCAAGACAAGCUGUAGACGAAGUCCACGAAACGGCCCACUCUGGAUUUGACCUCGCUAGACAGGCUGCACGAGACGCCCAUGAUGCUGCCCAUGCUGGGCUAGAUCUCGCUAGAGAGGCUGCUGGCAAGUUUCGAGCUCGGUUUGACGAAGCACGUAGGCGGUUUGACCAGGACUAAAGUGAUCAAAAAUCACCUAGGAAUGUGAGGAUAAGGUUAAACGGUGAAAAUAAUGGACUCCAAAGCCUUUGUCAUUAAGACCAGUCAGUUGUGGCUCUUACUUUGUGAAGUUAUACUAUCAAAAAUAAAUCAGUAAUAAAAGACUCAAA
Long non-coding RNA from Saccostrea cuccullata (small rock oyster), 615 nucleotides. RefSeq lists it as uncharacterized. Lineage: Eukaryota; Metazoa; Mollusca; Bivalvia; Ostreida; Ostreidae. The record is from RefSeq and is a predicted model, not a curated record. The transcript is spliced from 3 exons.